This 253-nucleotide ribosomal RNA is filed under the name uncultured bacterium. RNAcentral's name for it is "partial 16S ribosomal RNA". It matches the Rfam family "Bacterial small subunit ribosomal RNA", at positions 524 to 776 of the family's 1533-position model. The record is from RNAcentral.
UACAGAGGGCCCAAGCGUUGUUCGGAUUCACUGGGCGUAAAGGGUGCGUAGGUGGCGGGGUAAGUCGGAUGUGAAAGCUCGGAGCUCAACUCCGAAAUGGCAUUGGAAACUACCCUGCUUGAGGGUCGGAGGGGGGACUGGAAUUCUCGGUGUAGCAGUGAAAUGCGUAGAUAUCGAGAGGAACACCAGUGGCGAAGGCGAGUCCCUGGACGACUCCUGACACUGAGGCGCGAAAGCUAGGGGAGCAAACAGG